GAUGAACGCUGGCGGCGUGCCUAAUACAUGCAAGUCGAGCGAACAGACGAGGAGCUUGCUCCUCUGACGUUAGCGGCGGACGGGUGAGUAACACGUGGAUAACCUACCUAUAAGACUGGGAUAACUUCGGGAAACCGGAGCUAAUACCGGAUAAUAUAUUGAACCGCAUGGUUCAAUAGUGAAAGACGGUUUUGCUGUCACUUAUAGAUGGAUCCGCGCCGCAUUAGCUAGUUGGUAAGGUAACGGCUUACCAAGGCAACGAUGCGUAGCCGACCUGAGAGGGUGAUCGGCCACACUGGAGCUGAGACACGGUCCAGACUCCUACGGGAGGCAGCAGUAGGGAAUCUUCCGCAAUGGGCGAAAGCUUGACGGAGCAACGCCGCGUGAGUGAUGAAGGUCUUCGGAGCGUAAAACUCUGUUAUUAGGGAAGAACAAAUGUGUAAGUAACUAUGCACGUCUUGACGGUACCUAAUCAGAAAGCCACGGCUAACUACGUG
This 497-nucleotide ribosomal RNA is filed under the name uncultured bacterium. Its description in RNAcentral is "partial 16S ribosomal RNA". It matches the Rfam family "Bacterial small subunit ribosomal RNA", at positions 28 to 507 of the family's 1533-position model. The record is from RNAcentral.